RNAcentral lists this ribosomal RNA (497 nucleotides) under uncultured bacterium. RNAcentral describes it as "partial 16S ribosomal RNA". It matches the Rfam family "Bacterial small subunit ribosomal RNA", at positions 28 to 507 of the family's 1533-position model. The record is from RNAcentral.
GAUGAACGCUGGCGGCGUGCCUAAUACAUGCAAGUCGAGCGAACAGAUAAGGAGCUUGCUCCUUUGAAGUUGGCGGCGGACGGGUGAGUAACACGUGGGUAACCUACCUAUAAGACUGGGAUAACUUCGGGAAACCGGAGCUAAUACCGGAUAACAUUUAGAACCGCAUGGUUCUAAAGUGAAAGAUGGUUUUGCUAUCACUUAUAGAUGGACCCGCGCCGUAUUAGCUAGUUGGUAAGGUAACGGCUUACCAAGGCGACGAUACGUAGCCGACCUGAGAGGGUGAUCGGCCACACUGGAACUGAGACACGGUCCAGACUCCUACGGGAGGCAGCAGUAGGGAAUCUUCCGCAAUGGGCGAAAGCCUGACGGAGCAACGCCGCGUGAGUGAUGAAGGGUUUCGGCUCGUAAAACUCUGUUAUUAGGGAAGAACAAAUGUGUAAGUAACUGUGCACAUCUUGACGGUACCUAAUCAGAAAGCCACGGCUAACUACGUG